ACUAAAACGUUGAAGAGAAGAGUAGUUUUUGGCCGCUUGUAAAGAGAGCUCCUGGUUGCUGAGAUGGAGCCUUGCGAAAGAAAAUGAAGAUGAGCUCGGAGUUUGAUUAACGGUGCAAGCUGUUAAUCCGUUGAGAUGCGAUAUAAUUGACGGCUUGAUUAAAAGAGCUAGUGAGGCCUAGAGUGUGAGCUUUAGGCGAAUAAAGGUGGUACCACGGUUUUCGUCCUUGUU
This 231-nucleotide non-coding RNA is filed under the name Ligilactobacillus agilis. RNAcentral describes it as "Lactobacillus agilis T-box sequence". It matches the Rfam family "T-box leader". Rfam says of the family: Uncharged tRNA acts as the effector for transcription antitermination of genes in the T-box leader family. T-boxes are found upstream of many aminoacyl-tRNA synthetase genes and some amino acid biosynthetic genes usually in Gram-positive bacteria. Lineage: Bacteria; Bacillati; Bacillota; Bacilli; Lactobacillales; Lactobacillaceae. The record is from RNAcentral.